Long non-coding RNA from Gopherus flavomarginatus (Mexican gopher tortoise), 2257 nucleotides. RefSeq lists it as uncharacterized. The transcript is spliced from 4 exons. The record is from RefSeq and is a predicted model, not a curated record. Lineage: Eukaryota; Metazoa; Chordata; Testudines; Testudinidae.
GGCAGAGACAGCCGCUGGGUGUUGCAGGUCAGGAGGGGAAGGGGAAGGGGACGGGGGAGAAGGCACACGUGCUUGCAGCCUUCCUCCCGUCCCCUCCCCUCCCCCCAGCAGUCACCUGGGGCCUGGAGGAGACGCCAAGGGAGCUUCUGGUCCGGUGGGAAACACAGGAAUCUCUGCAGUGGACCUCACUCACCUGAACAGCUGCUGGGGCUUCCAACGCUCCUUUCAGCAGCUCUGGGGUUGAUGAUGUGGACUGUCUGCUUAAAACAUCCUAAAGUUACAUGGAGAUUGCUGCAGUGAGAUCUGCAGUUGUCAUCUUCCUAGCAGACCCAGGCUGGAAGCACCCUGGAAGUCGACCAUCAUGUUUUGGACUGGGUGGGAGGACAGGAGCUCAGGCCAGGAGUACUCUGCAAUUCUGUGGGACAGAAGAAGAAAAAUGAGUAUCUCAUAGAAUCCUGAACUGUGCCCUGCUUGAUAAAUAUUAAGAAACCCGGAGGACUUAGCCCCAUCUUAACACAGACUUCUUAUUCAUGAAGAUUAUGUCAUGUUUUGAAUCCUCUGGCAAUAUAUGAUCUUUAGCUUGUUUUCAUAUAUAUAAAGUUUACAGGUCACACACAAAAAGAAAGGGAAGGGAAAAUUCCAUCCGUGUUUCAUUUGGUGUUUAUAUUCCUGAUAACUAAAUAUCAGCAAUUAAAGUUCAGCCUGCAGAAAAGAAAAAUGGAAAUGUUAAGAUCCAUGAACUGAAUAGGGUACCUGAAGUAAUAUUCAUGUGUAAUAAGGAUUUUAAAAGUGUUUAGUUCAUGUAACUCAAAAACCAGCAUGACUAGAGGAUUUCCUCCAGAUCUUAGCAGUAAAUACAGCAAAUUCCACAAUAUUCUUAUCUUGCACACUUAUCCCACCACACUCCGAAGGCUGUUUGGAUAACAAAAUGUUUCCAGGUUGCUUUUAUUUCCACUCUUUCCUGGUAGCAUUUGAUAACUUUAAAUCUUCUCUUGAACCUUUCUUCUCUCCUCCCCCCAAUACCCCUCUCCACUUCCUGGGAAAUGUUUUUCUUCCAGAAACUGCAGAGCAAAAUGGUGUUUUCAAAGAGAAACUAUUCUUCUGACCUCUUCUUACAUCAGCUUGUUUUUCUAUGCCUCUCUUUCCCCUUUGCUUCAUACCUGCUGAAAGAAUGAACUGAUACAGGAUGUGGGUCUUUUUCCUCUUAAAAAAUACCAAAGGAAGAAUGUCAUCAUUAAACUACAGGAAAAAAUAAUGAAAAACAUGAUUGCACUCGCCAUUAUCCCUGAAGUGACUGUGGUUCUUUUUUGACACAGAGGACCGUGUACCAUUAUCAAACGCCAUGCAGAUAGAUAUAGAUAUGCAUACAAGAUGCCAGACAGUACAAUACUUCUCAAAGGAAUUAUGUUAAACUACUACCAUAACCAGCAAUAUACAUUCAAAAGUGUGGAGUUUGUUACUUUUCAUAUCAUGAUAAAGAUGGGUUUUUUGGAAUCCAAUAAUUGCAAUUAAGAGAUAAUAGGAAGAAUAAGUAACACAAGUUUAUCUAGAAAGGUAAAUAUUGUACAAGCAUUCUUGCUCUACAAAGCUAAUUGCCUGUGCAGGGAAAAAAAAAAAAACACCAAAUCAAACAGCUCUUUCAUACACCUCAUAAAUUAACUAAUUUUAUGAAAAACCUCCUGCAGAUGUUGAUAGGCACCUUGAAAAAAUAAGAAAAGACAAGUCUAAACAGAUACACAAAAUGCACAUAUGGGACACACGACGAUCAAAUACACAGCUAAGCCUAUACAGUACUUCUUUGCGCCUCUGCAGCUGACUUCGCUUGAUCAGAUUGACACUGAUAAUAGAAUGUUCAGUCCAUUGUGCUUGUCAAUAAAUUAAAGGAAUUCAGGAGAUUUUUGUUGUGCAGAAGAUCUGUAUGCACGCAGGCUAGUCUAACAACACUUGACAGAGCUUUAAUUGUUUUGUUUACCUCAAUGUUUAAGUUUAGCAAUGUGAGAUUCCAAUUCUCAUAGCAUUCAUUUUGAUGUCCUUUCUCUAUUGACCAAUUAUUUCAUUAAACUGCACUUCAUUAAUCCUUAAAACACAUUAAGCCUCCUGGUCCUAUGUAUGAAGUUGUUAGGGGCACCACCACGAUUUGAUUUUAGACAUUCAGAUCCUAUUCUUGUUUAAUGGACCAAACUGGCAAGAAAUCCAGUAUAUUAGCUCUCACUUAAAGCUAGGCAUCCCAUAAUAUGGCACAUACAGUGCUUUAUUU